GACGAACGCUGGCGGCGUGCUUAACACAUGCAAGUCGAACGGAAAGGCCCUGCUUUUGUGGGGUGCUCGAGUGGCGAACGGGGGAGUAACACGUGAGUAACCUGCCCUUGACUUUGGGAUAACUUCAGGAAACUGGGGCUAAUACCGGAUAGGAGCUCCUGCUGCAUGGUGGGGGUUGGAAAGUUUCGGCGGUUGGGGAUGGACUCGCGGCUUAUCCGCUUGUUUGUGGAGUAGUGGCUUACCAAGGCUUUGACGGGUAGCCGGCCUGAGAGGGUGACCGGCCACAUUGGGACUGAGAUACGGACCAGACUGCUACGGGAGGCAGCAGUGGGGAAUAUGGCACAAUGGGCGGAAGCCUGAGGCAGCAACGCCGCGUGCGGGAUGACGGCCUUCGGGGUGUAAACCGCUUUCUCCUGUGACGAAGCGUGAGUGACGGUAAUGGGUAAAGAAGCACCGGCUAACUACGUG
RNAcentral lists this ribosomal RNA (468 nucleotides) under uncultured bacterium. Its description in RNAcentral is "partial 16S ribosomal RNA". It matches the Rfam family "Bacterial small subunit ribosomal RNA", at positions 28 to 507 of the family's 1533-position model. The record is from RNAcentral.